UCCGAGUUAUCCCCGGCAGUCUCCUAUGAGUCCCCACCUUUACGUGCUGGCAACAUAGGACAAGGGUUGCGCUCGUUGCGGGACUUAACCCAACAUCUCACGACACGAGCUGACGACAGCCAUGCACCACCUGUCACGGGCCCUAAAGGACACUGUAUUUCUACAGCUUUUCCCGUGAUGUCAAACCCAGGUAAGGUUCUUCGGGUUGCAUCGAAUUAAGCCGCAUGCUCCGCCGCUUGUGCGGGGACCCGUCAAUUCCUUUGAGUUUUAGCCUUGCGGCCGUACUCCCCAGGCGGGACACUUAAUGCGUUAGCUACGGCACGGACAACAAUGAAGCUCCCCACACCUAGCGCCCAACGUUUACGGCGUGGACUAC
RNAcentral lists this unclassified non-coding RNA (376 nucleotides) under uncultured Acidimicrobiia bacterium. RNAcentral's name for it is "contains 16S-23S intergenic spacer region". Lineage: Bacteria; Bacillati; Actinomycetota; Acidimicrobiia. The record is from RNAcentral.